RNAcentral lists this transfer RNA (57 nucleotides) under Lissoclinum patella. RNAcentral's name for it is "tRNA-Asp". The record is from RNAcentral. Lineage: Eukaryota; Metazoa; Chordata; Ascidiacea; Aplousobranchia; Didemnidae.
UUUUGUAUAAACACGUCUGUUUCUAAUCUAUCAUAUAAGCUUUAUAAAAUACAUAAG